Non-coding RNA from Mycena galericulata, 121 nucleotides. The record is from the annotation of a GenBank genome assembly. Lineage: Eukaryota; Fungi; Basidiomycota; Agaricomycetes; Agaricales; Mycenaceae.
GGCACUUUGGCCGAGUGGUUAAGGCGAUGCCCUGCUAAGGUCUGUCUCGACAUUGUUGAGUCAGCUACUUACGUAAAGGCAUUGGGGUUUCCCCGCGUGUGUUCGACUCACACAGGUGUCG